Molecule: ribosomal RNA, 2911 nt
Filed under: Staphylococcus aureus
Lineage: Bacteria; Bacillati; Bacillota; Bacilli; Caryophanales; Staphylococcaceae
Description: bacterial LSU rRNA
Rfam family: Bacterial large subunit ribosomal RNA
Source: RNAcentral
UUAAGGGCGCACGGUGGAUGCCUUGGCACUAGAAGCCGAUGAAGGACGUUACUAACGACGAUAUGCUUUGGGGAGCUGUAAGUAAGCUUUGAUCCAGAGAUUUCCGAAUGGGGAAACCCAGCAUGAGUUAUGUCAUGUUAUCGAUAUGUGAAUACAUAGCAUAUCAGAAGGCACACCCGGAGAACUGAAACAUCUUAGUACCCGGAGGAAGAGAAAGAAAAUUCGAUUCCCUUAGUAGCGGCGAGCGAAACGGGAAGAGCCCAAACCAACAAGCUUGCUUGUUGGGGUUGUAGGACACUCUAUACGGAGUUACAAAGGACGACAUUAGACGAAUCAUCUGGAAAGAUGAAUCAAAGAAGGUAAUAAUCCUGUAGUCGAAAAUGUUGUCUCUCUUGAGUGGAUCCUGAGUACGACGGAGCACGUGAAAUUCCGUCGGAAUCUGGGAGGACCAUCUCCUAAGGCUAAAUACUCUCUAGUGACCGAUAGUGAACCAGUACCGUGAGGGAAAGGUGAAAAGCACCCCGGAAGGGGAGUGAAAUAGAACCUGAAACCGUGUGCUUACAAGUAGUCAGAGCCCGUUAAUGGGUGAUGGCGUGCCUUUUGUAGAAUGAACCGGCGAGUUACGAUUUGAUGCAAGGUUAAGCAGUAAAUGUGGAGCCGUAGCGAAAGCGAGUCUGAAUAGGGCGUUUAGUAUUUGGUCGUAGACCCGAAACCAGGUGAUCUACCCUUGGUCAGGUUGAAGUUCAGGUAACACUGAAUGGAGGACCGAACCGACUUACGUUGAAAAGUGAGCGGAUGAACUGAGGGUAGCGGAGAAAUUCCAAUCGAACCUGGAGAUAGCUGGUUCUCUCCGAAAUAGCUUUAGGGCUAGCCUCAAGUGAUGAUUAUUGGAGGUAGAGCACUGUUUGGACGAGGGGCCCCUCUCGGGUUACCGAAUUCAGACAAACUCCGAAUGCCAAUUAAUUUAACUUGGGAGUCAGAACAUGGGUGAUAAGGUCCGUGUUCGAAAGGGAAACAGCCCAGACCACCAGCUAAGGUCCCAAAAUAUAUGUUAAGUGGAAAAGGAUGUGGCGUUGCCCAGACAACUAGGAUGUUGGCUUAGAAGCAGCCAUCAUUUAAAGAGUGCGUAAUAGCUCACUAGUCGAGUGACACUGCGCCGAAAAUGUACCGGGGCUAAACAUAUUACCGAAGCUGUGGAUUGUCCUUUGGACAAUGGUAGGAGAGCGUUCUAAGGGCGUUGAAGCAUGAUCGUAAGGACAUGUGGAGCGCUUAGAAGUGAGAAUGCCGGUGUGAGUAGCGAAAGACGGGUGAGAAUCCCGUCCACCGAUUGACUAAGGUUUCCAGAGGAAGGCUCGUCCGCUCUGGGUUAGUCGGGUCCUAAGCUGAGGCCGACAGGCGUAGGCGAUGGAUAACAGGUUGAUAUUCCUGUACCACCUAUAAUCGUUUUAAUCGAUGGGGGGACGCAGUAGGAUAGGCGAAGCGUGCGAUUGGAUUGCACGUCUAAGCAGUAAGGCUGAGUAUUAGGCAAAUCCGGUACUCGUUAAGGCUGAGCUGUGAUGGGGAGAAGACAUUGUGUCUUCGAGUCGUUGAUUUCACACUGCCGAGAAAAGCCUCUAGAUAGAAAAUAGGUGCCCGUACCGCAAACCGACACAGGUAGUCAAGAUGAGAAUUCUAAGGUGAGCGAGCGAACUCUCGUUAAGGAACUCGGCAAAAUGACCCCGUAACUUCGGGAGAAGGGGUGCUCUUUAGGGUUAACGCCCAGAAGAGCCGCAGUGAAUAGGCCCAAGCGACUGUUUAUCAAAAACACAGGUCUCUGCUAAACCGUAAGGUGAUGUAUAGGGGCUGACGCCUGCCCGGUGCUGGAAGGUUAAGAGGAGUGGUUAGCUUCUGCGAAGCUACGAAUCGAAGCCCCAGUAAACGGCGGCCGUAACUAUAACGGUCCUAAGGUAGCGAAAUUCCUUGUCGGGUAAGUUCCGACCCGCACGAAAGGCGUAACGAUUUGGGCACUGUCUCAACGAGAGACUCGGUGAAAUCAUAGUACCUGUGAAGAUGCAGGUUACCCGCGACAGGACGGAAAGACCCCGUGGAGCUUUACUGUAGCCUGAUAUUGAAAUUCGGCACAGCUUGUACAGGAUAGGUAGGAGCCUUUGAAACGUGAGCGCUAGCUUACGUGGAGGCGCUGGUGGGAUACUACCCUAGCUGUGUUGGAUUUCUAACCCGCACCACUUAUCGUGGUGGGAGACAGUGUCAGGCGGGCAGUUUGACUGGGGCGGUCGCCUCCUAAAAGGUAACGGAGGCGCUCAAAGGUUCCCUCAGAAUGGUUGGAAAUCAUUCAUAGAGUGUAAAGGCAUAAGGGAGCUUGACUGCGAGACCUACAAGUCGAGCAGGGUCGAAAGACGGACUUAGUGAUCCGGUGGUUCCGCAUGGAAGGGCCAUCGCUCAACGGAUAAAAGCUACCCCGGGGAUAACAGGCUUAUCUCCCCCAAGAGUUCACAUCGACGGGGAGGUUUGGCACCUCGAUGUCGGCUCAUCGCAUCCUGGGGCUGUAGUCGGUCCCAAGGGUUGGGCUGUUCGCCCAUUAAAGCGGUACGCGAGCUGGGUUCAGAACGUCGUGAGACAGUUCGGUCCCUAUCCGUCGUGGGCGUAGGAAAUUUGAGAGGAGCUGUCCUUAGUACGAGAGGACCGGGAUGGACAUACCUCUGGUGUACCAGUUGUCGUGCCAACGGCAUAGCUGGGUAGCUAUGUGUGGACGGGAUAAGUGCUGAAAGCAUCUAAGCAUGAAGCCCCCCUCAAGAUGAGAUUUCCCAACUUCGGUUAUAAGAUCCCUCAAAGAUGAUGAGGUUAAUAGGUUCGAGGUGGAAGCAUGGUGACAUGUGGAGCUGACGAAUACUAAUCGAUCGAAGACUUAAUC